GUGGGGAAUCUUCCGCAAUGGACGAAAGUCUGACGGAGCAACGCCGCGUGAGUGAUGAAGGUCUUCGGAUUGUAAAGCUCUGUUAAUCGGGACGAAAGAGCCUAGUGUGAAUAAUGCUAGGAAGUGACGGUACCGGAAUAGAAAGCCACGGCUAACUACGUGCCAGCAGCCGCGGUAAUACGUAGGUGGCAAGCGUUGUCCGGAAUUAUUGGGCGUAAAGCGCGCGCAGGCGGAUCUGCCAGUCUGUCUUAAAAGUUCGGGGCUUAACCCCGUGAUGGAAUGGAAACUACAGAUCUAGAGUAUCGGAGAGGAAAGUGGAAUUCCUAGUGUAGCGGUGAAAUGCGUAGAUAUUAGGAAGAACACCAGUGGCGAAGGCGACUUUCUGGACGAAAACUGACGCUGAGGCGCGAAAGCCAGGGGAGCGAACGGGAUUACAAACCCUUGUAGUCC
This 450-nucleotide ribosomal RNA is filed under the name uncultured bacterium. Its description in RNAcentral is "partial 16S ribosomal RNA". It matches the Rfam family "Bacterial small subunit ribosomal RNA", at positions 354 to 796 of the family's 1533-position model. The record is from RNAcentral.